UUGGUGAAGCCCUGCCCUGAGUGCUCCCCAGUGCUCCCUGGCAGAAUGGAAGAAAUCUUCCCCUCUGACCAGAGGACCUGUCCCGUCUUAGCCUGCCACGUGUCAAUGAGGACACGGCUUCAGCAGGAUAGAAGGCCGGCCUACCAGAAUUAUCUGGCUCAGGGAAGAGGGUGGAGAAGGAAGGGGCGGUCCUGACUCAGUUGCAUAGGUGUGGUCACAGAUUUCCAGGAUUCCAGAUUCUUACCCCACCGAUCGCAGCCAGGCCACUUUCAAUCAUGUGCUCACCCCAGCGAUAAUGCUGUUACUUACCCCCACCAGUCCCCGGUUCCCCACGAGAUAAAGUCCAAACUCCUCAGCCUGUUCUGUAAGGCCCUGAGGAAUUUAUUUUUUAAUGGGGCCAAGAGGAAUUUGAUCCUUGCUCACCUAGGUUCCAGAGAAACUAGACUUUUCACCUUCUGGAAUAUAAUGUGCUUUUUUAUACCCGUGGGCAGUUCCCUCGACCAGGAACACCUUCUCCCUUCUUGACCUGGGAAAAGCCUCCCCCUGCUUCCUGACCCAGAUGGAACACUACCGUUUCUGGGAAGCCCAGCACCCCAGCCCUGGCCAGACUCUGUUGCUCUCUCUUUCCUGCUCCCAGCCUGGGGCGCACAUCUGGUUUCUAAUGCUCUCCGCGUGGCCCUGUCACGAAGAACGCAAGAUAUGUGUCCCCUCUGCUCCGUGGCUGGGUCACGUCUCACCCACCGUUUUCUCCCAGCCCAGGUGCGUGCUUGAGUCUCAGUAAAGGUUCGCUGAUACGUGAAAAGGCUGCCACAGAAUCUGGGCACUUCGGUGUCAGUCCAUAAUCGACAGCCCGGGCGCCCACAUUUCAGGAAGUUUCUUCAGACAUUCGAGCUUCUAUGGCUCGCCUAUGACGUGCCAGGAGCUCGCUCGGCUUGGGGACUGGAGGCACGGCUCUGGAUGGGACGGCGCCCCCUCCCUGCUGCCCAAGUGAAAUAUAAUACCCAUUCAGACAACUGCACGCGAAGAUACACGGCUCAGAAAUGACCGUCUCACCCAGGUCACGAAAGGGAUGGCCAGUGCCCCAGCGGUCCCUUCACCGACCCUGCGCGUCGCACCCGCGCCCUCCCUGCAGAAGUGACCCCGUGCUGACACCGUCUUGCUUUCCUGUAUGGUUUUACGCCCCGGGCGUGAAUCCGACUCCAGUUCUGUUUUGUCUGGGUUUAAACUUUGUAUCAGGAAAAAAAUAUAAUGGCUAUUCUUCGGUGUUUGA
This is a long non-coding RNA of Herpailurus yagouaroundi (jaguarundi), 1270 nucleotides long. RefSeq lists it as uncharacterized. Lineage: Eukaryota; Metazoa; Chordata; Mammalia; Carnivora; Felidae. The record is from RefSeq and is a predicted model, not a curated record. The transcript is spliced from 2 exons.